CACACUUCCUCCAGCUGUGAGAACCUAGCAGAGAAAAGACUAGGAAACUGGCCCAGCUGUCUGCCCCGGGUUUUCACCAUGCACUUACAGGUCUGAAUACUCGGAGUGCUCUCCCCUCCCCCUCCCCGUGACGGAGUGAGACCUGGCGCUGCUGAGUCACGUUGUUUCGCUUCUGCUGCCCACCACCAGAGCAGCUGGGAUGUGGAGUGCACUCUUCCCCUUUCCAGGGUUUCUGGCAGAAGUGGAACAGGACUUUUCCAGAGGACGGGAUCACUCCGAGACUCAACUCUUCAGGUCGGGGCAAAGUCUAAAAUUCCAGAGACCCUGGAUUUAGAGGACAACGCUCUCCAUGUUUGCUGUGAUCCAUCAAAAGUGGGUGUGGGCUGCAUACCUAUCAGAAGAGCUCAAAAACAAGGAAACAAAGCCAAGACAGCAUGGCGACAAGGGCUGGGGCAAACUCUCAGAGACUGUUGAGCCUCUUUGCAAAACAAGCUGAAAGCUACUUACAGAAGAGGAUGGAAGAUACAUGAAAACAAGACCGAACUUCAAAGGCAUGAUGCUAGGCGAAAGAAGUCAGAUUCGGAAAGCUACAGACUGAAUGCUUUGGCUCAGAUGAUAUUCUGAGAACAGAAGAACCUAUAGAGAACAAGCCAAAGAUUGCCAGAGACUCUGAGACGCCAGGCUACGCAUCUGAAAGUCCGUCUCCAUCAUCCACGACUCCCUCAUGGUUCAGAAUACUUCGAGGAACAUCAGAGCUCCCCGCGGAAGAAGAUAAAUUAUGCUUCUUUUGUACAGUUCUCGGAAUUUCUCAGGCAGAUACCGCUUCUGGUUUUAGUAUGGUAGUUUCCUCACUUCAGGAAGAAAAACUUUUUUCUUUUAAUUGUCCUUUUUGGAUACAGACUGCUGCAAUGUCUGUUUAAAACUUCGUUGGUGCUGGUUGGAAAGGAAUAUACUUUUUCUAAAUCAGCAUUCUUAUGGCUCUGUCCAAUAGGAAUAUAGUAUGUCCGGAUACACAAUUAAAAGUAUUUAUUUUUUUUUAUUUGUGUGUAUGUUUGUGUGUACGUGCACACGUGUGUGGGUUCCUGCGAAGCCAGAAGAGGCUAUCAGAUCCAUUGAAACUGGAGCCAAAGGUGUCGUGAACCACCACGCGGGUGCUUCGAAUUGAACCUUGACUGCAGAGCCGUCUCUUCAGCUCAGCUCUUCAAGUUAUAUAGUGGCACUAGUUUUAAAAAGUUAAAUUAAUUUCACCCAGCACUGGAGAGAUGGCUCAACAGUUAAGUGCAUUGGUUGCUGUUCCAGAGGACCUGGGCUCAAUUCCUAGCUCUCACAUAGUAGGUCACAGCCGUCCAUAGCUCUCGUUUCAGGGCAUUUGAGGGCCUCCUUGAUCUCAAUGGGCACUGCAUGCAUGUGUUGCAUAUACAUAUAUGCAGGCAACACACCUGUAGAUGGGAAAUAAAAAUAAAAUGAAAAAAAUCGUUUCAAUAAUGUAUUUUAUUUAACCUAGA
Long non-coding RNA from Peromyscus californicus insignis, 1505 nucleotides. RefSeq lists it as uncharacterized. Lineage: Eukaryota; Metazoa; Chordata; Mammalia; Rodentia; Cricetidae. The transcript is spliced from 4 exons. The record is from RefSeq and is a predicted model, not a curated record.